AUGCGACGCAAAUGUCAAAGAUGGAGAUUUGAAGGCCAUCACGAGAUCACAUCCAGGAGGGCGAGGAGACGCGCCCACGGCGGCAGCAUCGACGAGGAGGCGCCCAGCAGAGACACGCACGGAGAGACGCGCCCACGGUGGCGGCGGCCAGCAGAUGGACGGAGGAGCCUACAGAGGAGGCCCCGCUGCGCCCUUGCGAUGAGAGAAGGAAAGCGGCGGCGACGGUGGCGGAUGACGCGCCGACUUCGGUUGCACCAGCGCAUGGACCAGAAGCAACCGGUAGCCGUAUGGCACACCGGGACAGCACAAGGAGGAGGCUGCGGCCUACACGCGCCGACGCACAAACGUCCAGCAAAAGCCUCAUGCCAUUUCCAUGGCGUCGAUGAGAUGCUCGGUGGCAACGACGUCGAGACUCGUACCAACAAGCCCUAA
Molecule: ribosomal RNA, 432 nt
Filed under: Triticum aestivum (bread wheat)
Lineage: Eukaryota; Viridiplantae; Streptophyta; Magnoliopsida; Poales; Poaceae
Description: partial small subunit ribosomal RNA
Source: RNAcentral